Molecule: ribosomal RNA, 490 nt
Filed under: uncultured bacterium
Lineage: Bacteria
Description: partial 16S ribosomal RNA
Rfam family: Bacterial small subunit ribosomal RNA
Source: RNAcentral
AUUGAACGCUGGCGGCAGGCCUAACACAUGCAAGUCGAAUGGUAACAGGAAACAGCUUGCUGUUUCGCUGACGAGUGGCGGACGGGUGAGUAAUGUCUGGGAAACUUCCUGAUGGAGGGGGAUAACUACUGGAAACGGUAGCUAAUACCGCAUAACGUCGCAAGACCAAAGAGGGGGACCUUCGGGCCUCUUGCCAUCAGAUGUGCCCAGAUGGGAUUAGCUAGUAGGUGGGGUAACGGCUCACCUAGGCGACGAUCCCUAGCUGGUCUGAGAGGAUGACAAGCCACACUGGAACUGAGACACGGUCCAGACUCCUACGGGAGGCAGCAGUGGGGAAUAUUGCACAAUGGGCGCAAGCCUGAUGCAGCCAUGCCGCGUGUAUGAAGAAGGCCUUCGGGUUGUAAAGUACUUUCAGCGGGGAGGAAGGGAGUAAAGUUAAUACCUUUGCUCAUUGACGUUACCCGCAGAAGAAGCACCGGCUAACUCCGUG